GAUGAACGCUAGCGGCAGGCCUAACACAUGCAAGUCGAGGGGCAGCGGGUGUAGCAAUACAUGCCGGCGACCGGCGCACGGGUGAGUAACGCGUAUGCAACCUACCUUUAACUGGGGAAUAGCUCGAAGAAAUUCGGAUUAAUACCCCAUAACAUUAUCUGAGGGCAUCUGAGGAUAAUUAAAGCUCCGGCGGUUAAAGAUGGGCAUGCGUGCCAUUAGCUAGUUGGUAAGGUAACGGCUUACCAAGGCUACGAUGGCUCGGGGGUCUGAGAGGAUGAUCCCCCACACUGGAACUGAGACACGGUCCAGACUCCUACGGGUGGCAG
Molecule: ribosomal RNA, 326 nt
Filed under: uncultured Bacteroidota bacterium
Lineage: Bacteria; Pseudomonadati; Bacteroidota
Description: bacterial SSU rRNA
Rfam family: Bacterial small subunit ribosomal RNA
Source: RNAcentral